ACAAUGAUACUUCCGUUCCGUUUCGGGAUAAGCGGAGCGGCCCGGCGAGAACCGCGGGGAGGCUGGAACCCUAUG
RNAcentral lists this non-coding RNA (75 nucleotides) under bovine gut metagenome. RNAcentral describes it as "pemK RNA". It matches the Rfam family "pemK RNA". The record is from RNAcentral.